Molecule: long non-coding RNA, 456 nt
Organism: Amphimedon queenslandica
Lineage: Eukaryota; Metazoa; Porifera; Demospongiae; Haplosclerida; Niphatidae
Exons: 2
Source: RefSeq, a predicted model, not a curated record
UGCAUUCUUUCUUGUAAUAGUAUAUCUUCACUUUUUAGAACUAGAAUAUUGGUUGCAACUCUUAUAUAGUCGUAGACCUGAGCUUUAGUAAGUAAUUCAACUGGAUUUCUUCACUAUUUUGCUUGUGCCAUGCUUAUACACGUGUAGUGUAAACGUCACAAUACAUCACUUCCGGUGCCAAGGAUCGAGCGCAUCCUGUUUCAUAUCCAUGUGUGUAUGUACAGUGCUUCGCAGGUUGCUUGACCCAGUUUCUGCUCACGUGACAUGUAUUACUAGUAUGGUGAGAGUCACGUGAUUAACGAGUUUGCAGGAUCAAGCAACCUGCAAAGCACUGUAGUAUCUAUGCUGACAUAGAUAUUAUAGACUACGUAACCGGGAUUGGAAACAGAUCACGUGAUCCCAUUCAAAUCAAUGUAACUAUUCAGGUACAGUCUCUGUGACAGUGAGAGGCGGACG